UUCUAAGGUGCAACCUGUGAGGGGUUA
RNAcentral lists this non-coding RNA (27 nucleotides) under Mus musculus (house mouse). Lineage: Eukaryota; Metazoa; Chordata; Mammalia; Rodentia; Muridae. The record is from RNAcentral.